RNAcentral lists this ribosomal RNA (3333 nucleotides) under Nitrosarchaeum sp. Its description in RNAcentral is "23S ribosomal RNA". It matches the Rfam family "Eukaryotic large subunit ribosomal RNA". Lineage: Archaea; Thermoproteati; Nitrososphaerota; Nitrososphaeria; Nitrosopumilales; Nitrosopumilaceae. The record is from RNAcentral.
CGCUCUGUCCAUAAAACACAUAAGGAAAUCGAUUACACCAAAAUCCAGGAGAGAAUGCGCAGGAGUCUCAAAGUGUCAGCCACCUCAUACAUUUUUAUUUCUCCACACUCACCUGAGCCGAGCAAGAUCACCCGCUGAACUUAAGCAUAUCAGUAAGCGGAGGAAAAGAAACUAACAAGGAUUGCCCCAGUAGCGGCGAGUGAACAGGCAAAAGCUCAAAUUGGAAAUCCUGCGCACAAGGCGUCGGAAUUGUAAUCUAGACGGCCAACUGCGAAGGUAUCGGCCCCCGUAUAGGUUCCUUGAAACAGGACGCCAAAGAGGGUGACAGCCCCGUACGUGGCGGAGGUACGACCGUAGCAGUGGUCUCAAAGAGUCGGGUUGUUUGGGACUGCAGCCCUAAAUGGGAGAUAAACUUCUUCUAAAGCUAAAUAUUUAUGGGAAACCGAUAGCGAACAAGUACUACGAAGGAAAGAUGAAAAGAACUUUGAAAAGAGGGUUAAAAGACUUGAAAUCGUUGAGUAGGAAGCGGUUGGAGGGUAGUCACUUGUUCUCGAUGUUGCGCUGUGCAAGCUGGCCGCCGCGGCGUGUUAAUGCACCCACAAGGGCACUCGCUGUACGCGGUAACAGAUUGCUGGCGCUUUUUCGAGGACAAAAGACAGAGCGGGCCUCUGUAGCGAGCGGGAGUAAACCUGGGAGAAGACCGGCUGCACAUGCAGUUCAGCUUCCAGGCAUAAACCGGAUUCGCGGGGCCGAGGGUAAUCCCUGCGGGGGGCUCUGUCGCGACGUCUCCAACUGGCCCGUCUGGAAACACGGACCAAGGAGUGUACCACGCGUGCGAGUGAUAGGGUGGAAAAACCCAGAUCGCGAAGAGAAAUCGAGUACAAGCAGCCAUGCCGUAGGGCAGCAGCUGCGGCCAACCCAGACUCUCCGAGGAAGGGCUUGAGCAAGAGCAGGCUUGGUACGACCCGAAAGAUGGUGAACUACGCUUGAGUACGCCGAAGCCAGGGGAAACUCUGGUGGAAGGUGGAAGCGAUACUAACGUGCAAAUUGUUCGUCAAACUUGGGUGUAGGGGCGAAAGACUAAUCGAACCAUCUAGUAGCUGGUUCCCUCUGAAGUUUCUCUCAGGAUAGCUGGAGCCGCAAUAGCAGUUUUAUCAGGUAAAGCGAAUGAUUAGAGGAUCCGGCCUGCAAAGCGGGUUGACCUAUUCUCAAACUUUAAAUUGGUAAGCUCCGUUAGUUUGCUUAAUUUGAACUGGCGGGAAGAAUGCGGGGCUCCAAGUGGGCCAUUUUUGGUAAGCAGAACUGGCGAUGAGGGAUGCUCCUUUCGCUGAGAUAAGGCGCCUAAGUUCCCGCUUAUGAGACACCACAAAAGAUGUUGGUUCAUUAAGACAGCAGGACGGUGGCCCUGGAAGUCGGAACCCGCUAAGGAGUGUGUAACAACUCACCUGCCGAAUGAACUAGCUCUGAAAAUUUAUGGCGCUCAGCGGGACGCCGAUACUCAGCCAUCGCGUACAACAUCGACAAAUGCGAGGUCGCGAUGAGUAAGAGGGCGUGGACGUGCUGUACAGAAGACCAGGGCGUGAGCCCGGUUGGAACCGCGUCCAGUGCAGAUCUUGGUGGUAGUAGCAAAUAUUCAAAUGAGAACUUUGAAGACCGAAGUGGGGAAGGGUUCCGCGAGAACAGCAAUUGGUCGCGGGUUAGUCGGUCCUAAGGCUAGGGCUAACGCCGAAAGCAUGGAGAGGUCUCGUGUCUCUCCGCUGCCGAAAGGGAAAGCGGUUAACAUCCCGCUACCUGACGUCGGGUAAUGUGCGGUAACGCAAGCAAACCCGCAGACGUCGGCAUGUGUCACUGGAAGAGUUAUCUUUUCUUUUUAACUGGUCAUGGCCCUGGAACUGGAUUAUCCAGAGAUAGGGCCGUACGCCAGGCAGAGCAGUUCACUCUACGAGCUGUCAGUUGCGCACAUGACGACCAAUGAAAAUGCGGGGGCGAGAUUUAUUUCGACGCAGGCCGUACCCAUAACCGCAUCAGGUCUCCAAGGUGAGCAGCCUCUGGUCGAUAGAAGAAUGUAGAUAAGGGAAGUCGGCAAAAUAGAUCUGUAACUUCGGGAAAAGGAUUGGCUCUGAGGAUGUGGUGUCGGGGCCCUCUAGUGAAUGCCGAGCUGCCGGUAUGAGUGAUUGGCAACUUUUGUUCAUUCGGCGGCGAAAGCACGAUCUUCUGGGACGCUUUCAUCGGCUGACCCGGCAUAACGAAACAUCGACUCAGAACUGAAGCGGACAAGGGGAAUCCGACUGUUUAAUAAAAACAUAGCUUUGCGAUGGCGCUAACGCGUGUUGACGCAAAGUGAUUUCUGCCCAGUGCUUUGAAUGUCAAAGUGAAGAAAUUCAACCAAGCGCAGGUAAACGGCGGGAGUAACUAUGACUCUCUUAAGGUAGCCAAAUGCCUCGUCAUCUAAUUAGUGACGCGAAUGAAUGGAUCACUGAGAUUCCCACUGUCCCUAUCUACUAUCUAGCGAACCCACAGCCAAGGGAACGGGCUUGGCGAAGUUAGCGGGGAAAGAAGACCCUGUUGAGCUUGACUCUAGUCCGACUUUGUGAAAUGGCAUACGAGGUAUAGCCUAGGUGGGAGAGAAAUCGAGCCUGUAAAACCACUACUCGUACUGUCAUUUUACUUAUUCCGUGAGGAAGGGUCCGGAUUCAACUCCGGUUCUAGCCUUAACGUAGCGCGUAUGCGUUGCGGACCUUUGCGGAAGACAUGGUCAGGUGGGGAGUUUGGCUGGGGCGGCAUACCUGUUAAACAGUAACGCAGGUGUCCUACGGUGAGCUCAAAGAGAACAGAAAUCUCUUGUUGACCAAAAGGGGAAAAGCUCACUUGAUUUUGGUUUCCAGUAUCAACACAAACGGUGAAAGCGUGGCCUAUCGAUCCUUUAACUUUACAAGUUUUAAGCUAGAGGUGUCAGAAAAGUUACCACAGGGAUAACUGGCUUGUGGCAGCCAAGCGAUCAUAGCGACGUUGCUUUUUGACUCUUCGAUGUCGGCUCUUCCUAUCAUUGUCGAAGCAGAAUUCGCAAAGUGUCGGAUUGUUCACCCGCAAAUAGGGAACGUGAGCUGGGUUUAGACCGUCGUGAGACAGGUUAGUUUUACCCUACUAACGAAUCGAUAUUGCUACAGUAAUUCAACUUAGUACGAGAGGAACAGUUGAAUCAGAUAAUUGGUAAAUACGGUUGGCUGAACAGCCAAUGCCGUGAAGCUACCAUCUGUAGGAUAAUGACUGAACGCCUCUAAGUCAGAAUCCAUGCUGGAAUGCAAUGUCCAAUCAAUAAUAAACGAAAAAAUU